This 468-nucleotide ribosomal RNA is filed under the name uncultured bacterium. RNAcentral describes it as "partial 16S ribosomal RNA". It matches the Rfam family "Bacterial small subunit ribosomal RNA", at positions 28 to 507 of the family's 1533-position model. The record is from RNAcentral.
GACGAACGCUGGCGGCGUGCUUAACACAUGCAAGUCGAACGGAAAGGCCCUGCUUUUGUGGGGUGCUCGAGUGGCGAACGGGUGAGUAACACGUGAGUAACCUGCCCUUGACUUUGGGAUAACUUCAGGAAACUGGGGCUAAUACCGGAUAGGAGCUCCUGCUGCAUGGUGGGGGUUGGAAAGUUUCGGCGGUUGGGGAUGGACUCGCGGCUUAUCAGCUUGUUGGUGGGGUAGUGGCUUACCAAGGCUUUGACGGGUAGCCGGUCUGAGAGGGUGACCGGCCACAUUGGGACUGAGAUACGGCCCAGACUCCUACGGGAGGCAGCAAUGGGGAAUAUUGCACAAUGGGCGGAAGCCUGAUGCAGCAACGCCGCGUGCGGGAUGACGGCCUUCGGGUUGUAAACCGCUUUCGCCUGUGACGAAGCGUGAGUGACGGUAAUGGGUAAAGAAGCACCGGCUAACUACGUG